This 386-nucleotide long non-coding RNA is filed under the name Salvia miltiorrhiza (redroot sage). Its description in RNAcentral is "long non-coding RNA (SMIL_LNC003752)". Lineage: Eukaryota; Viridiplantae; Streptophyta; Magnoliopsida; Lamiales; Lamiaceae. The record is from RNAcentral.
UAAUUUAUUGUUUCCUAGUUUGUGACUUUCUUUGUACAAAUCUUUCAACCCUAUAAAGGGUGACUGUAAUUCUCAGAAACAAAACAAGCAAUAAAAUUACAAUCUCAUAGCCUAAUCCUUUCUAGGUUCUUCAUAACUAUGUCGAUACCAUGUUCUAACAUGGUAUCAGAAUAGGUUUGAUACUUGGAACUCAGAAAUUGUUCAUCAUUGUUCCAAAACCUUUUCUCACCCUUUGUUCAUCAUUGUUCCAAAAUCUUUUCUCACCCUUUCUUUCUUUAAAAAAAAAAAAAAAACAAUCAAAGGCAGCAGUAGCCUUAUCUUCUUCUUUCCUGCAAAAAAAAAAUUGCCAGAUUUCAGGAGAGAUUCAAACCACCAACUCAGCCUCA